GGACGACGCUGGCGGCGUGCUUAACACAUGCAAGUCGAACGGACCGAGUUGAUAGCUUGCUAUUGAUGAGGUUAGUGGCAAACGGGUGCGUAACGCGUAUGCAACCUACCCAUAACAGGGGGAUAACACUGAGAAAUUGGUACUAAUACCCCAUAAUAUCAUUGAUGGCAUCAUUGAUGGUUGAAAACUCCGGUGGUUAUGGAUGGGCAUGCGUUGUAUUAGCUAGUUGGUGAGGUAACGGCUCACCAAGGCGACGAUACAUAGGGGGACUGAGAGGUUAACCCCCCACAUUGGUACUGAGACACGGACCAAACUCCUACGGGAGGCAGCAGUGAGGAAUAUUGGUCAAUGGGCGAGAGCCUGAACCAGCCAAGUAGCGUGAAGGAAGACUGCCCUAUGGGUUGUAAACUUCUUUUGUUCGGGAAUAAAGUGCAGUAUGUAUACUGUUUUGUAUGUACCGUUCGAAUAAGCAUCGGCUAAUUCCGUG
This 487-nucleotide ribosomal RNA is filed under the name uncultured bacterium. RNAcentral's name for it is "bacterial SSU rRNA". It matches the Rfam family "Bacterial small subunit ribosomal RNA", at positions 32 to 507 of the family's 1533-position model. The record is from RNAcentral.